UGGGGAAUUUUGGACAAUGGGCGAAAGCCUGAUCCAGCAAUGCCGCGUGUGUGAAGAAGGCCUUCGGGUUGUAAAGCACUUUUGUCCGGAAAGAAAUCCUUGGCUCUAAUACAGUCGGGGGAUGACGGUACCGGAAGAAUAAGCACCGGCUAACUACGUGCCAGCAGCCGCGGUAAUACGUAGGGUGCAAGCGUUAAUCGGAAUUACUGGGCGUAAAGCGUGCGCAGGCGGUUUGCUAAGACCGAUGUGAAAUCCCCGGGCUCAACCUGGGAACUGCAUUGGUGACUGGCAGGCUAGAGUAUGGCAGAGGGGGGUAGAAUUCCACGUGUAGCAGUGAAAUGCGUAGAGAUGUGGAGGAAUACCGAUGGCGAAGGCAGCCCCCUGGGCCAAUACUGACGCUCAUGCACGAAAGCGUGGGGAGCAAACAGGAUUAGAUACCCUGGUAGUCCACGCCCUAAACGAUGUCAACUAGUUGUUGGGGAUUCAUUUCCUAGUAACGUAGCUAACGCGUGAAGUUGACCGCCUGGGGAGUACGGUCGCAGGAUUAAAACUCAAAUGAAUUGACGGGGU
This 570-nucleotide ribosomal RNA is filed under the name uncultured bacterium. RNAcentral's name for it is "partial 16S ribosomal RNA". It matches the Rfam family "Bacterial small subunit ribosomal RNA", at positions 355 to 919 of the family's 1533-position model. The record is from RNAcentral.